AUUGAACGCUGGCGGAAUGCUUUACACAUGCAAGUCGGGCGGCAGCGCGGGGGCAACCCUGGCGGCGAGCGGCGAACGGGUGAGUAAUACAUCGGAACGUGUCCUUGAGUGGGGGAUAGCUCGGCGAAAGCCGGAUUAAUACCGCAUAAGCUCUGAGGAGGAAAGGCGGGGACUGGUAACGGCCUCGCGCUGUUGGAGCGGCCGAUGUCGGAUUAGCUAGUUGGUGGGGUAAAGGCCCACCAAGGCGACGAUCCGUAGCUGGUCUGAGAGGAUGAUCAGCCACACUGGAACUGAGACACGGUCCAGACUCCUACGGGAGCAGC
This 323-nucleotide ribosomal RNA is filed under the name uncultured bacterium. RNAcentral's name for it is "bacterial SSU rRNA". It matches the Rfam family "Bacterial small subunit ribosomal RNA", at positions 29 to 352 of the family's 1533-position model. The record is from RNAcentral.